CCUACGGGGGGCAGCAGUAGGGAAUAUUGGUCAAUGGGCGAGAGCCUGAACCAGCCAUGCCGCGUGCAGGAAGACGGCCCUCUGGGUUGUAAACUGCUUUUGAAUGGGAAGAAAAAGCUUCAUGCGUGGAGUGUUGACGGUACCAUUAGAAUAAGCCACGGCUAACUACGUGCCAGCAGCCGCGGUAAUACGUAGGUGGCGAGCGUUAUCCGGAUUUAUUGGGUUUAAAGGGUGCGUAGGCGGCUUAAUAAGUCGGUGGUUAAAAGUAGCAGCUUAACUGUUUUACCUGCCAUCGAUACUGUUAAGCUUGAGUUAUCUGGAGGUAGCUGGAAUUUCCGGUGUAGCGGUGAAAUGCUUAGAUACCGGAAGGAACACCAAUUGCGAAGGCAGGUUACUAUAGAUAUACUGACGCUGAGGCACGAAAGUGCGGGGAUCAAACAGGAUUAGAUACCCCAGUAGUC
RNAcentral lists this ribosomal RNA (461 nucleotides) under uncultured bacterium. RNAcentral's name for it is "bacterial SSU rRNA". It matches the Rfam family "Bacterial small subunit ribosomal RNA", at positions 338 to 795 of the family's 1533-position model. The record is from RNAcentral.